Molecule: long non-coding RNA, 233 nt
Organism: Corticium candelabrum
Lineage: Eukaryota; Metazoa; Porifera; Homoscleromorpha; Homosclerophorida; Plakinidae
Exons: 3
Source: RefSeq, a predicted model, not a curated record
UUAUUAUCACAAUGAAAACUUGCGGUGUGCUGUUGUGGGUUGCGACAACCGUGCUGAUCGUGGAUUACUGUUAUCAACAGAAAAUACCUGAAACAGAUCAGUUUGAAGGCCUGUUUAUUGCCUUGCAGUCAGUAUAGUGGUGCAAAUACAGCAAACAAGAAAGGGAAGAAGCAGAGCCACACUUUUGCCACUAGAGAUCCUGAUUUUGGUCCAAUCAUGUCAGCAACACUGCA